RNAcentral lists this ribosomal RNA (278 nucleotides) under uncultured Lachnospiraceae bacterium. RNAcentral describes it as "partial 16S ribosomal RNA". It matches the Rfam family "Bacterial small subunit ribosomal RNA", at positions 69 to 339 of the family's 1533-position model. The record is from RNAcentral. Lineage: Bacteria; Bacillati; Bacillota; Clostridia; Lachnospirales; Lachnospiraceae.
AGGAAGUUUUCGGAUGGAAUCUUGAUUGACUGAGUGGCGGACGGGUGAGUAACGCGUGGGUAAACCUGCCUCAUACAGGGGGAUAACAGUUAGAAAUGACUGCUAAUACCGCAUAAGACCACAGCACUGCAUGGUGCAGGGGUAAAAACUCCGGUGGUAUGAGAUGGACCCGCGUCUGAUUAGUUAGUUGGUGGGGUAACGGCCUACCAAGGCGACGAUCAGUAGCCGACCUGAGAGGUUGAACGGCCACAUUGGGACUGAGACACGGCCCAGACUCC